Molecule: ribosomal RNA, 267 nt
Filed under: uncultured bacterium
Lineage: Bacteria
Description: partial 16S ribosomal RNA
Rfam family: Bacterial small subunit ribosomal RNA
Source: RNAcentral
GUCCAUGCCGUAAACGAUGUGCACUAGGGAGAGGGCGGGUCCUAACUCGCUCCCUCCCAAGCAAAGCGUUAAGUGCACCGCCUGGGGAGUAUGCUCGCAAGGGUAAAACUCAAAGGAAUUGACGGGGGCUCACACAAGCGGUGGAGCAUGUGGUUCAAUUCGAAGCAACGCGAAGAACCUUACCAGGCCUAGACAUCAGGAUGUAACCGGCAGAAACGUCGGCCAACUCGCAAGAGAAAUCCUGUGCAGGUGUUGCAUGGCUGUCGU